UCAGUUUGUAUAGGGGAAGCUCCUAGUAAUCAGUCGUACUUGUUAAUACCUAAUGUCCUCUCUGCUGCUAUCAGUCGUAAGAUACUGUUGGGAAUUAGGAGGGCUCUAUGAUCACCUUAUCGAGAUAUAGCCAGCUAAGAAUGAGCAAGCUAAGAGUGAGGCUGCAGCUGCAUUUGGAAAUGAUGGUGUAUAUUUGGGGAAAUGCAUUCUAA
RNAcentral lists this long non-coding RNA (212 nucleotides) under Helianthus annuus (common sunflower). Its description in RNAcentral is "sRNA HanXRQr2_Chr11g0480231". The record is from RNAcentral. Lineage: Eukaryota; Viridiplantae; Streptophyta; Magnoliopsida; Asterales; Asteraceae.